This 274-nucleotide ribosomal RNA is filed under the name uncultured prokaryote. RNAcentral's name for it is "partial 16S ribosomal RNA". It matches the Rfam family "Bacterial small subunit ribosomal RNA", at positions 525 to 777 of the family's 1533-position model. The record is from RNAcentral.
ACAGAGGGUGCGAGCGUUGUCCGGAAUCACUGGGCGUAAAGGGCGCAUAGGUGGCCACGAUAAGGCCGCGGUGAAAGCUUGGGGCUCAACCCCAGGUCGGCCGCGGCGACUGUCGGGCUUGGGCACUGUGGAGGCAGAUGGAAUUCCGGGUGUAGCGGUGGAAUGCGUAGAGAUCCGGAAGAACACCAGUGGCGAAGGCGGUCUGCUGGGCAGUGGGAGCUUUGGCUCCCGUUAAGCCGACACUGAGGCGCGACAGCGUGGGGAGCAAACAGGA